UACGAAGGGGGCUAGCGUUGCUCGGAAUCACUGGGCGUAAAGGGUGCGUAGGCGGGGCUUUAAGUCAGGGGUGAAAUCCUGGAGCUCAACUCCAGAACUGCCUUUGAUACUGAGGAUCUUGAGUACGGGAGAGGUGAGUGGAACUGCGAGUGUAGAGGUGAAAUUCGUAGAUAUUCGCAAGAACACCAGUGGCGAAGGCGGCUCACUGGCCCGUAACUGACGCUGAGGCACGAAAGCGUGGGGAUCAAACAGG
RNAcentral lists this ribosomal RNA (253 nucleotides) under uncultured bacterium. RNAcentral describes it as "partial 16S ribosomal RNA". It matches the Rfam family "Bacterial small subunit ribosomal RNA", at positions 524 to 776 of the family's 1533-position model. The record is from RNAcentral.